Non-coding RNA from Guyanagaster necrorhizus, 91 nucleotides. The record is from the annotation of a RefSeq genome assembly. Lineage: Eukaryota; Fungi; Basidiomycota; Agaricomycetes; Agaricales; Physalacriaceae.
UCUCUGGUAGUAUACCGGUUAAUACACGCGUCUGUCAUUCGACAUGCAUGAAUAGACGUGCGAAAGCUGGGUUCAACUUCCAGCCAGAGAA